This 489-nucleotide long non-coding RNA is filed under the name Cricetulus griseus (Chinese hamster). RNAcentral's name for it is "lncRNA (ENSCGRG00015034225.1)". Lineage: Eukaryota; Metazoa; Chordata; Mammalia; Rodentia; Cricetidae. The record is from RNAcentral.
GGGGCGGUGCCGGGACCAAGCGUUCCGUCGCCUUGGUGGUCGCCCGGUUGCAGACCUCUGUCUGCUUCCAGGGCUGUGGGGCUCCAGAGGCUCAUCCCUGGAGGGCGGGAAGUCCUGGAGCAGUGCGGGCGUGACCGCGGGCUUUGCCCACAGAAACGCUUUCCAAGGGCUCCGGACGCAGACUAGGGGGCGUCUGGAGCCUGGUGUGGUGUCUCGUGCAGCCCGUCCCGUGGGAAUGGAUGCAACUUCGGGCGCAGGCGACUGGUGGGAAGUUGGAAUCGUGGAUUCGUGAGCACGCACUACGGGCGGCUAGGCUCCCAUUGCAUUAAGUCCUUCAGACGGAUGGUGUUGUGGACUGACAUCUGGGAUUCUCUUGGGUUGACACCAUUUGAGAAGAAUAAGUCACCAGCAGGAACUACCUAAGGGAACAUUUUUGAUAAAAUCUGUACAUGCUUCUCCUGGUGUGUUUGGUUACCAGGAACAGAAGGC